UCACUAUGGGAUGGACCUGCGGUGCAUUAGCUAGUUGGUAAGGUAACGGCUUACCAAGGCGAUGAUGCAUAGCCGAGUUGAGAGACUGAUCGGCCACAAUGGAACUGAGACACGGUCCAUACUCCUACGGGAGGCAGCAGUAGGGAAUCUUCCACAAUGGGCGCAAGCCUGAUGGAGCAACACCGCGUGAGUGAAGAAGGGUUUCGGCUCGUAAAGCUCUGUUGUUGGAGAAGAACGUGCUGUGAGAGUAACUGUUCACGCAGUGACGGUAUCUAACCAGAAAGUCACGGCUAACUACGUGCCAGCAGCCGCGGUAAUACGUAGGUGGCAAGCGUUAUCCGGAUUUAUUGGGCGUAAAGCGAGCGCAGGCGGUUAGAUAAGUCUGAU
Molecule: ribosomal RNA, 387 nt
Filed under: Lactobacillus sp. UN_33
Lineage: Bacteria; Bacillati; Bacillota; Bacilli; Lactobacillales; Lactobacillaceae
Description: bacterial SSU rRNA
Rfam family: Bacterial small subunit ribosomal RNA
Source: RNAcentral